RNAcentral lists this ribosomal RNA (438 nucleotides) under uncultured bacterium. RNAcentral's name for it is "partial 16S ribosomal RNA". It matches the Rfam family "Bacterial small subunit ribosomal RNA", at positions 338 to 795 of the family's 1533-position model. The record is from RNAcentral.
CCUACGGUGGGCUGCAGUAGGGAAUAUUGCUCAAUGGGGGAAACCCUGAAGCAGCAACGCCGCGUGGAGGAUGAAGGUUUUAGGAUUGUAAACUCCUUUUGUGAGAGAAGAUAAUGACGGUAUCUCACGAAUAAGCACCGGCUAACUCCGUGCCAGCAGCCGCGGUAAUACGGAGGGUGCAAGCGUUACUCGGAAUCACUGGGCGUAAAGAGUGCAGAGGGGCGUGUAAGUGAGAUGUGAAAUCCUGUAGCUUAACUACAGAACUGCAUUUGAAACUAUGAGUCUAGAGUAUGGGAGAGGUAGGUGGAAUUCUUGGUGUAGGGGUAAAAUCCGUAGAGAUCAAGAGGAAUACUCAUUGCGAAGGCGACCUGCUAGAACAUAACUGAUGCUGAUGCGCGAAAGCGUGGGGAGCAAACAGGAUUAGAUACCCCUGUAGUC